GCCACCCAGGUGUCCCACAAUUCGAUGGUUUAAUAGGCAGUUGGAUAUAUGAGAUUGAAGCUCAGAUGGUCUGGGAUUACAAUGUGAAUAUUCACAUCUCUUAUGUGAGAAUAUAAAUAAACUCAAUAUAAAUGAGAUCACCCAGGAAAGAGUUCGUCUAGAAUGAGAAGAGAAGAAGAGCUAGGGCCAUACCUUGAGAAAAUCUAAUAACUAAUAACUGGUUUAGAAGAUAAUGAUCCUGUAAUUCUCCUCAGGGAAUUACUGAGCAUAGAAGGAAAAUAGGAAGAGCGCAGUAACACAGAUGCCAAGAGAAUAUUAUUCAAGAAAAAGAGGGGACUUGUUUUAAUGAGAGCCAAAUAAGGUGAAGAAUAGAACACUUAUUGGAUCAGCAUGGGAAAAGUGUAGAUGCUUCUCCAGAAAAGCCUUCACUCAUCUGCCCACGCACAAUUAAAUAUACCUUCAUCUGGGUUUCCAUCGAGGUUAUUCUGUUACAGCACCUGCUGUUUUUAUUCAGAAUUAUAAAAGGUUAAAAGUCAACUCUAAGUUUGUGAGAAAGUGGUCGGAAAACUCGGGAUACAUAUCCAAAACCUCUAACAAGUCUUCUCUCUGGAUCUUAUGCAAGUCACAACUUUGUCUACAUGACUGGACUUCUGCCAGAUUUCCUGCAUGGACGGAAGACUUCUCCAAAAUGAUAACUUGCCUAGUCUUUGCCCAUUUUUGCUUUGGGGGGCUAGUGGAUCUUUCUGCGCUCUGUCAGAUCCUACACAACCCAGCUCCUCUCCUGGAGCCAACCCUCUGGCUAAAUCUGUGUUGAAUAGUAAGUGACCUCAAACUGAAUGGAGUUUGAAUUACUCCUGUGCUUCUAGGACUCCAGAGAAAGUGUUUGGAAACGCCAUCACAUGCUCCAGCAGGAGGAGGUGCACUCUAGAGUUCUGUUUGAAUAGUACCAUUAUUUCAAAGAGCUAAAAAAAAUUGGACACAUUUCCACUAUCCUAUUGUUGGGAGAAGAACAUUACUAAUGAACGGAAGAACUGCAAUACGUUCACUGCCUCAGUGUGGUGUUUUUGCAAUGACUAUUUUUUCAUGCGUAAAGCCCCAGGCCACGUUGUCAUUUCCCGUGGUUCAGGAACCACCGAAGAUAAAAUCCCACUGUUAAGAGCUCCCUUUGCACAGAAGCAGCAUGGUGCCAGCCGUAAAUAAGUCCUUCUUGAUAAUGGUUGGAGACAAGGAUGAAGUGACCAUAAUCAUUUGUGAAACAUGAUGGAGCACAUACCAUUUGGGACACGAAAAUACCAGAUGCCUGUCUGAAGUCUGCUAUUGUGCAUGUCAGGGGGCUCCAGAUGGCACUUACUGUUCUGUGUGCUAUUUUUGAGACUUUAGAGUAAGUAGCUUGGUAAAAAAUAGGAAAGACAUGCACCUUGCCCUUUCUAAAGCACAUAUGGUUCAGGUACUGGCUACACUAGGCAAGCACGUGUGCUAGGAGAUUUCUUGCUAGCGAGAAACUUUGCUGCCUACACAGUUUCUGUAGAGCCAGGCAGUUUCUGUUAACUAAUCAGCAUGCAGAUGAAAACAUCUUCUAAAGUACAUUGUAGACAGCUAUUUUAAUACAACUCCUAAAUAGUACCUAGGUAUUUCCUUACAGAAAACUAAAAGAUGUCUCACCAGUCCUGAUGGGAUGAGCCCUGGGUGUUGUAAGCGAUGAAUCACUAUAUUCUACUUACUGCUGAAGCCAAGACUAUACUGUAUGUUAACUAACUUGAGAAUAAAAAAUAAAUAAAUAAAUAUAAAAAAAAAUAAAAUAAAUGCAGGUUUUUGCCAGUCUCCAUGCCCCAUUUUCAAAUGUGUGAAUUUACUCGCUAGUCUGUGUAGAGAAGCAACAUGUGUGUUUUUUUUUUUUCAAA
Molecule: long non-coding RNA, 1901 nt
Organism: Felis catus (domestic cat)
Lineage: Eukaryota; Metazoa; Chordata; Mammalia; Carnivora; Felidae
Exons: 4
Source: RefSeq, a predicted model, not a curated record